RNAcentral lists this ribosomal RNA (300 nucleotides) under uncultured Conexibacter sp. RNAcentral describes it as "bacterial SSU rRNA". It matches the Rfam family "Bacterial small subunit ribosomal RNA", at positions 496 to 795 of the family's 1533-position model. The record is from RNAcentral. Lineage: Bacteria; Bacillati; Actinomycetota; Thermoleophilia; Solirubrobacterales; Conexibacteraceae.
GCUAACUACGUGCCAGCAGCCGCGGUAAUACGUAGGGAGCGAGCGUUGUCCGGAAUCAUUGGGCGUAAAGAGCAUGUAGGUGGAUCAAUAAGUCUGCUGUGAAAGUCGAAGGCUCAACCUUCGAAAGCCGGUGGAUACUGUUGAUCUAGAGUACGGAAGAGGCGAGUGGAAUUCCUGGUGUAGCGGUGGAAUGCGCAGAUAUCAGGAGGAACACCAAUAGCGAAGGCAGCUCGCUGGGACGUAACUGACACUGAGAUGCGAAAGCGUGGGGAGCAAACAGGAUUAGAUACCCUUGUAGUC